This is a long non-coding RNA of Harpegnathos saltator (Jerdon's jumping ant), 551 nucleotides long. RefSeq lists it as uncharacterized. NCBI's taxonomy places the organism in Eukaryota, Metazoa, Arthropoda, Insecta, Hymenoptera, Formicidae. The transcript has 2 exons. The record is from RefSeq and is a predicted model, not a curated record.
UAGAAUUUUUAAUUUGGAAUAUACUUUAUACAAUUUGAAAGAUCAGCAGCAAAAAAUGAAUUCAUUUCGGAAUAUUGCGGCGAAAUUAUCAGUCAAGACGAAGCUAACAGGAGGGGAAAAGUAUAUGAUAAAUAUAUGUGUAGUUUCCUUUUUAAUCUUAACAAUGAUUUUGUUGUAGACGCGACACGGAAAGGGAAUAAAAUAAAGUUUGCUAAUCACUCGAUAAAUCCAAAUUGUUAUGCGAAAGUAAUGAUGGUAAACGGUGAUCAUAGAAUAAGUAUUUUUGCUAAGAGAGCGAUUCAACCUAGUGAAGAAUUAUUUUUUGACUAUAGGUAUGUCGCUAUAAUGUUUUGUUUAAUUUAUUAAUUGCAAACAAUUAAAAUCAUGCGAUAAUUUUCAGAUAUAGACCAACGGAACAAUUAAAAUUCGUCGGUAUCGAGCGAGAAAUGGUGUUUCUCUAAUAUAUGUAUAUAUAUUAUAUGGACUUUUACAUGUAUAAAUGGUGCAUCAAGCGAAUACAUACAGCUGAAAUAUUAGAAAGGAAAUAAGCA